RNAcentral lists this ribosomal RNA (440 nucleotides) under uncultured bacterium. Its description in RNAcentral is "partial 16S ribosomal RNA". It matches the Rfam family "Bacterial small subunit ribosomal RNA", at positions 338 to 795 of the family's 1533-position model. The record is from RNAcentral.
CCUACGAUGGGCAGCAGUGGGGGAUAUUGCACAAUGGGGGAAACCCUGAUGCAGCGACGCCGCGUGGGUGAAGAAGCGCCUCGGCGCGUAAAGCCCUGUCAGCAGGGAAGAAAAUGACGGUACCUGAAGAAUAAGCCCCGGCUAACUACGUGCCAGCAGCCGCGGUAAUCCGGAGGGGGCAAGCGUUAUCCGGAUUUACUGGGUGGAAAGGUGGCGCAGACGGCGAUGCAAGCCAGGAGUGAAAGCCCGGGGCCCAACCCCGGGACUGCUCUUGGAACUGCGUGGCUAGAGUGCAGGAGGGGCAGGCGGAAUGCCUGGUGUAGGGGUGAAAUGCGGAGAUAGCAGGAGGAACACCGGUGGCGAAGGCGGCCUGCUGGACUGCAACUGACGUUGAGGCCCGAAAGCGUGGGGAGCAAACAGGAUUAGAUACCCGAGUAGUC